Molecule: long non-coding RNA, 1360 nt
Organism: Chlorocebus sabaeus (green monkey)
Lineage: Eukaryota; Metazoa; Chordata; Mammalia; Primates; Cercopithecidae
Source: RefSeq, a predicted model, not a curated record
AAGGAAUGUCCAAAAUGUAUGUGGACUGGCAAGAAAAACAGGCCAUGUGACCCAGGAGAUAAUAAAGGAGUUAAGGCUCUUCACUCACUGAUUCUCUCUCCUUCCCUCUCUUUUAGGCCUGAAUCUUUGUUAUCACUGCUUCAUUUUCCAGGAUUACAAGAAAAAACCAAAGUAUUGUAGGUAAAAGCAGUACAGCCAAGAAACCCCAUCUUAUGUUUAUACAUUUAGAAGCAUCCUUUGGAGCAGGAAAAGUUUAAAUUCUAAAUCUCAAGAUAGCUAACACAGAUGCACUAUUCCAAGGAGCCAGCAAGGAAAAUACAGUCCUGCUUCUCAAACACAUCCCCUGGAAUUGGUGACAAGUUAUCUUCAGAGAAAAGAAUUGUCACCAGAUUAAGAGAGUAAAGGACCCGAUGAGAAGCACGCUUGCAUUGCAUUCACAGGGCUGGCUUUCAGUUCUCCAAAAAAAUUCAUGUCAUUGCCUAAAAAUUACUAAUGGAAAAUGGCACGCAGACAGAUACAAUACUGUUGUUGUUUUUGGUUGUGGUUUUGCUUCUACUAAACCCCACAGCACUGCGGAGAAAUUAUCCUCUGAACCGAAAAGUCCUCAAGUUAAGCUUGUAUUUGACUUCCAACAAUAAACACCGUGCUGAAAAUGGCUUCAGCAGAUAGAGCUUUUCCCUCCAGUGACCAGGCAGUGAGGAGCAGGCAACCUAGGCUGCUUCUGACUUCCUGUUCAUGUUCCAAGCAGGAGGAAGGGAGAAAGACAAGAGCGAAAAGGCAGAAUGGGCAUCCAGUCUCAUCUGUCCGUUUUAAAAGCUUUCCUAGAAGUUCUACCCAGCAACUCCCACGCCCAUCUCAUUGAGGAAAACUGGAUCACAUGACCACUACUCCCGGUGAACGAGUCUAAGAGGUUAUACCAUAUCAGGACCCUGAAGAUGUCAUCUGAUCCAGCUACCUUUACCAUUAGGAAAGUAUUGUCUAUAGUCUGAGUUAUAUUGCAACAUUUCUUUCCAUUCAAUUCAUCACAUGUUUAAUGAUCAUUUACUGUGUGUUAGAAAGGUGUCAUUAAAUCACAGAGUCUUAGAGCUUUAAGAAAUAUUUGAGACAGUUUAAACUUCUCGUUUUCUUAAUUGAGAUAAAAGUCAUAUAACAUAAAAUUCACCAUUUAUCCAUUUUAAAGUGUAUUAAUACAAUUAAGCAGUUUUUAGUCUAUUCAUAGUGUUGUCAACCAUCGCUACCACCUAGCAGCUCCAGAACAUUUUAUCAUGCCCAAAAGAAACCCUGGGCCCAUGAAGCAGGCACUCCCCAUUCUUCCUCCCCCACAGCCCCUGUCAAAUAAUAAUCUACUUUUUGCUAUGAA